Molecule: transfer RNA, 72 nt
Filed under: Myotis davidii
Lineage: Eukaryota; Metazoa; Chordata; Mammalia; Chiroptera; Vespertilionidae
Rfam family: tRNA
About the family: Transfer RNA (tRNA) molecules are approximately 80 nucleotides in length. Their secondary structure includes four short double-helical elements and three loops (D, anti-codon, and T loops).
Source: Rfam by way of RNAcentral
GCUGGUUUGGCUCAGUGAUUAGAGCAUCAGCCCAGGGACUGAUGGGUACCAGUUUGAUUCUGGUGAAGGGCA